CAGUCGCCGCGGUAAUACGAAGGGUGCAAGCGUUACUCGGAAUUACUGGGCGUAAAGCGUGCGUAGGUGGUUGUUUAAGUCUGCUGUGAAAGCCCUGGGCUCAACCUGGGAAUUGCAGUGGAUACUGGGCAACUAGAGUAAGGUAGAGGAUAGUGGAAUUUCCGGUGUAGCAGUGAAAUGCGUAGAGAUCGGAAGGAACAUCUGUGGCGAAGGCGACUAUCUGGGCCAUUACUGACACUGAGGCACGAAAGCGUGGGGAGCAAACAGGAUUAGAUACCCCAGUAGUCCCUGUCUCUUAUAC
RNAcentral lists this ribosomal RNA (301 nucleotides) under uncultured bacterium. Its description in RNAcentral is "partial 16S ribosomal RNA". It matches the Rfam family "Bacterial small subunit ribosomal RNA", at positions 509 to 807 of the family's 1533-position model. The record is from RNAcentral.